GUUUGCAUAACUUAUAACCAGGCCCCUCCUGGCUCCAACUGCCGAACCGUCAAUGUUAAACAUUAACCAAGACUCACACAGAGUUCAACCUGAAACAGGACCUCAAACGUGCUCCGGGUAAAGAAACACUGCCCUUUUCCGAGUCUUAAGGAGUGUAAACGUUUUUUGCAUCUUGUUAAAUUAUCUCCUGCUGAGUUAUAAGAAGUUGGCUUUACAAGCAGGCUCGUGAGGACGGGACCGCCACUGGACAGACGAGGAGACAGAGAAGCAUAGUGCAGCAAAUAGGGGCAUGGAGGCCCCAGGCGCCGUGGUCCCCCCAGGGGACUGGAUUGAUGUUGUUGUGCAGCGCUUGCACACCGAGCCCUGGGCGUUGGCCGGUGCCGUGGUGAUCGCCGUGUUUGUGCUGGGGAUCCUCGCCCUGGCAGUGUUCGCCUUCCUCUUUGGAUGCUGCUGCACUCCCAAAGGGAAGCGCAAGAAGUCCAGGGACGCAGUGCUUUAGUUUAGACUUUUGUGUGUGUGUGUGUGUGUGUGUGUGUGUGUGUGUGUGUGUGUGUGUGUGUGUGUGUGUGUGUGUGUGUGUGU
Long non-coding RNA from Gadus morhua (Atlantic cod), 582 nucleotides. RefSeq lists it as uncharacterized. The transcript is spliced from 2 exons. NCBI's taxonomy places the organism in Eukaryota, Metazoa, Chordata, Actinopteri, Gadiformes, Gadidae. The record is from RefSeq and is a predicted model, not a curated record.